UACGAGAGGCCCAAACGUUAUUCGGAUUUACUGGGCUUAAAGAGUUCGUAGGCGGCUUGGAAAGUGGGGUGUGAAAGCCCUCGGCUUAACCGAGGAAUUGCGCUCCAAACUGCCGAGCUUGAGGAGGCUAGUGGUGAGCAGAACUGAUGGUGGAGCGGUGAAAUGCGUUGAUAUCAUCAGGGAUACCGGAGGCGAAGGCGGCUCACUGGGACCUUUCUGACGCUGAGGUACGAAAGCUAGGGGAGCAAACGGG
RNAcentral lists this ribosomal RNA (253 nucleotides) under uncultured bacterium. RNAcentral describes it as "partial 16S ribosomal RNA". It matches the Rfam family "Bacterial small subunit ribosomal RNA", at positions 524 to 776 of the family's 1533-position model. The record is from RNAcentral.